This 242-nucleotide long non-coding RNA is filed under the name Elaeis guineensis (African oil palm). Its description in RNAcentral is "long non-coding RNA (EGUI_LNC056984)". The record is from RNAcentral. Lineage: Eukaryota; Viridiplantae; Streptophyta; Magnoliopsida; Arecales; Arecaceae.
CCACAUCAAUUUUUGUAGAUUUUUUUGAUUUAGGAAGGGACAUGAAAAUAUCCCUUCUCUGAUCACGCAUGUAGAAGAGGGUGCUGAUCAACAUAUCAUUAAUAAGAGUCCUUCUGCGUGAAGGAACUCUUAUCUCAGAUAAUCUCAUCAGAUAAGACUUUUUUUUGUAGAAUGUGUCCCUCCCUUUUGGCAUCCCUCUGGUGGCUAUAAAUUGGUCUGGGCAUUAGGUGUCCGAGGCAUUC